GACGGAGGGGGCAAGCGUUGUCCGGACUCACUGGGCGUAAAGGGCGCGCAGGCGGUAGCGUGCGUCGGUGCUGAAAGCGCCCCGCUUAACGGGGCGAGGCGUGCCGAUACGACGCGACUGGAGGCAGGCAGAGGGUGGCGGAAUUCCGGGUGUAGUGGUGAAAUGCGUAGAGAUCCGGAGGAACGCCGGUGGCGCAAGCGGCCACCUGGGCCUGACCUGACGCUGAGGCGCGAAAGCGUGGGGAGCGAACCGG
RNAcentral lists this ribosomal RNA (253 nucleotides) under uncultured bacterium. RNAcentral's name for it is "partial 16S ribosomal RNA". It matches the Rfam family "Bacterial small subunit ribosomal RNA", at positions 524 to 776 of the family's 1533-position model. The record is from RNAcentral.